RNAcentral lists this ribosomal RNA (497 nucleotides) under uncultured bacterium. Its description in RNAcentral is "partial 16S ribosomal RNA". It matches the Rfam family "Bacterial small subunit ribosomal RNA", at positions 28 to 507 of the family's 1533-position model. The record is from RNAcentral.
GACGAACGCUGGCGGCGUGCCUAACACAUGCAAGUCGAGCGAACCGACGAGGAGCUUGCUCCUUUGACGUUAGCGGCGGACGGGUGAGUAACACGUGGGUAACCUAACUACCAGACUGGGAUAAUUUCAGGAAACCGGAGCUACGACCGGAUAAUAUUUCGAACUGCAUGGUUCGAGAGUGAAAGAUGGUUUUUCUAUCACUUAUAGAUGGACCUGCGGCUUUUUCGUUAGUUGGUAAGGUAGCGGCUUAACAAGGCAACGAUGGGGAGCCGACCUCAGAGCGAGGACGGCCACACGGGAACUGAGACACGGUCCAGACUCCUGCGCUGGGCCGCGGCAGGGACUCUUCCGGAAUGCGCGAAAGCGUAACGGUGCACCACCGCGUGAGUCAUGAUGGUGUACGGAUCGUAAAGCUCUGUUAUUCGGGGAGAAUAAACGUGUAAGUAACUGUGCAGGUCUUGACGGUACCGAGUCAAAAAGCCACGGCUAACUCCGUG